AGCAGUCGCCGCGGUAAUACGUAGGUGGCAAGCGUUGUCCGGAAUUAUUGGGCGUAAAGGGCUCGCAGGCGGUUUCUUAAGUCUGAUGUGAAAGCCCCCGGCUCAACCGGGGAGGGUCAUUGGAAACUGGGAAACUUGAGUGCAGAAGAGGAGAGUGGAAUUCCACGUGUAGCGGUGAAAUGCGUAGAGAUGUGGAGGAACACCAGAGGCGAAGGCGACUCUCUGGUCUGUAACUGACGCUGAGGAGCGAAAGCGUGGGGAGCGAACAGGAUUAGAUACCCCGGUAGUCCCUGUCUCUUAUAC
This 303-nucleotide ribosomal RNA is filed under the name uncultured bacterium. RNAcentral describes it as "partial 16S ribosomal RNA". It matches the Rfam family "Bacterial small subunit ribosomal RNA", at positions 507 to 807 of the family's 1533-position model. The record is from RNAcentral.